GAUCCUGGCUUAGGAUGAACGCUAGCUACAGGCUUAACACAUGCAAGUCGAGGGGCAGCAUGAUCUUAGCUUGCUAAGAUUGAUGGCGACCGGCGCACGGGUGAGUAACGCGUAUCCAACCUUCCCUAUAGUAGGGGAUAGCCCGUAGAAAUGCGGAUUAAUACCCUAUGUUGUAUUUUGAGGACAUCUGACGAAUACCAAAGGUUCACCGCUAUAGGAUGGGGAUGCGUCUGAUUAGGUUGUUGGCGGGGUAACGGCCCACCAAGCCUACGAUCAGUAGGGUUCUGAGAGGAAGGUCCCCCACAUUGGAACUGAGACACGGUCCAAACUCCUACGGGAGGCAGCAGUGAGGAAUAUUGGUCAAUGGGCGAGAGCCUGAACCAGCCAAGUAGCGUGCAGGAUGACGGCCCUAUGGGUUGUAAACUGCUUUUAUGCGGGGAUAAAGUGAGGGACGUGUCCCUUAUUGUAGGUACCGCAUGAAUAAGGACCGGCUAAUUCCGUGCCAGCCGCGGC
This 513-nucleotide ribosomal RNA is filed under the name uncultured bacterium. Its description in RNAcentral is "bacterial SSU rRNA". It matches the Rfam family "Bacterial small subunit ribosomal RNA", at positions 15 to 518 of the family's 1533-position model. The record is from RNAcentral.